This 465-nucleotide ribosomal RNA is filed under the name Vreelandella stevensii. Its description in RNAcentral is "partial 16S ribosomal RNA". It matches the Rfam family "Bacterial small subunit ribosomal RNA", at positions 338 to 795 of the family's 1533-position model. The record is from RNAcentral. Lineage: Bacteria; Pseudomonadati; Pseudomonadota; Gammaproteobacteria; Oceanospirillales; Halomonadaceae.
CCUACGGGGGGCAGCAGUGGGGAAUAUUGGACAAUGGGCGAAAGCCUGAUGCAGCCAUGCCGCGUGUGUGAAGAAGGCCUUCGGGUUGUAAAGCACUUUCAGUGGGGAAGAAAGCAGUGGGGGUAAUACCCUCGAGGAAGGACAGCACCCACAGAAGAAGGACCGGCUAACUCCGUGCCAGCAGCCGCGGUAAUACGGAGGGUGCGAGCGUUAAUCGGAAUUACUGGGCGUAAAGCGCGCGUAGGCGGUCUGAUAAGCCCGGUGGGAAAGCCCCGGGCUCAACCUGGGAACGGCAUCCGGAACUGUCAGGCUAGAGUGCAGGAGAGGAAGGUAGAAUUCCCGGUGUAGCGGUGAAAUGCGUAGAGAUCGGGAGGAAUACCAGUGGCGAAGGCGGCCUUCUGGACUGUCACUGACGCUGAGGUGCGAAAGCGUGGGUAGCAAACAGGAUUAGAUACCCUUGUAGUC